Eurytemora carolleeae is the source of this 1227-nucleotide long non-coding RNA. RefSeq lists it as uncharacterized. The record is from RefSeq and is a predicted model, not a curated record. The transcript is spliced from 2 exons. Lineage: Eukaryota; Metazoa; Arthropoda; Copepoda; Calanoida; Temoridae.
CCAGCUUUUAAAAUCAUUUCUAUAUGUUAGGUAUUUUUAAAGGUUUUAUUCGCUGAAUUUGGAAAAAAGAAAGAUUUAUAUGGGAUGAAAAUGAUCUUUGAGUAUAAAGCCUCAUUGAAAAAUAUACUCCAUGUUUUGGGUGUGUUAUGUAUUUCCUCGUAAAAUGAAAUCCUUGUUUUAUUUGUUUAUUGUUAAUUGUUUAUUGUUUAUUAUUUUACCAACCCGUAAUCCAAAAACCACAUUUUGCGUAUUUCAGCAUACUAUUGGUACCGGCAUAGCCCGUUAUUUCUUUAACGUACAAUGGUCGAUCAGAUGAUAUGUCUCCGAUUGUGUGCGUACGAAUUAUCUAUCAGAUAAGAAUUUCGCGUGAGACAUCUAGCGGCCAAAUUAUAGUCCCCUAAAGUACGUCUUUAGGACGGGCUCUAUACGUUAUUCGGGAAAGAACGGGCUCAGGACCAAGUAGAAUCGGGUGAGUACACAGAAGGGCCUGCGGUGGCCGUAUUAGCUUGACUCCCUCGUCUGGAUUCAUAUUCAGCUCAAAACUGAAUUAAUGCUGAGCAACUUAAACAAAGGGGAGCUCAAGCCUUAAUAAAUAUCGGAUUAGUGGGCUGACUGCGAUUAUUAUUAUCGUUACUUUUCGAAAAAAAAUAGCUAAUACAAUAGAAACAUUAUAAAUUAGACGUUUUUGUAGAAAUUUUUCACAAUUUUCAAAUAUUUUGUCGGACACUGAAUAUCGAAAUUUCAACAAUUGUACCGAAUGUUUACUUUUUUUCUAGAGCCGGAAAUUUAAGAGAAUAUCGUUAAACAAAAUCCCGAGUCUCCUCAUUGGGGUCAUGCAUUUGCGUAGAUUUCAGAAUAGAGAAUGUUAAGAAACCACAUGAAAUAAUAUUUCUUAGCAAAACUGUUAGUAUCUACAAAACUGCCUGACCUCAUACAUGAAACCGGGUUUCCGACACUGGGUUUAAUUUCGAUACUCGGGUUUCCGACACUGGGGUUCAUUUCGAUACUCUGUUUUAAGAUUCGGACUCAGUUUAUAUUUAUUAUUAUCUUUUUAUAUCUUCGCUAAGUUUUAUAGACUCUAGAAAUUGGCUCAUAUAUAAAGUCUGAUGUCGCCUCUUAAUUCCCAUGUUUAUUGAGACAGUACCACUGUAAUCUGUAUAUAAUGUAUAGUAUAUAUCGGAAACUGUGCCGAGUAGAGUCAAUUUCGAAAUAAAUAAUUUUGAUUGA